Xiphophorus hellerii (green swordtail) is the source of this 3896-nucleotide long non-coding RNA. RefSeq lists it as uncharacterized. The transcript is spliced from 3 exons. NCBI's taxonomy places the organism in Eukaryota, Metazoa, Chordata, Actinopteri, Cyprinodontiformes, Poeciliidae. The record is from RefSeq and is a predicted model, not a curated record.
AGAGAGAGAGAGUUGAUCAGUUAGGUGAUUCCACCAAGCUAGCUUUAGCUGACUAUGAGAGGUUGAACAGCUGCAGCCUUUCCUCUGCCUACAUCCCCCAGAAUGCUGUGCGGUUCUGGACCGGAGUUCUGUGAAUGUUCUAUAUAUGAGCACAGGAGGACACCCGGCCGGCGCUGACGCUGGACCGGAGCUGCUGCUCCCGAGCCAAGCGUCUGCAUGUGACCCACUGGGAAUGAGGACGUGUUGACACGCUCGCGCUCUCGCUGGCUUGAAUAAGGUCAGGGAUGAGGACAUCCAGAGCACGUCCUGAAGGCUGCGGCGGAGCUCCAACUGAAUUGCUUAUUUGUUCCAUAACGUGACUCUCCCUCCCUCCGCAGACAGUGACUAUGCACGGGGCCUGACCUUCUGCGGUGCCACUCUUUCCAGUGUCUUCUUUUCAUUUUUUUUUCUUCCUCACUGGCUCGUCUUGUCCUCCCCACCUUCUCUCGGUUAGAUCAGACUGUCCUGCAUUCCUGACAUUCCCACUGCGCAUGUUAGAAAUUCCACCCGGCUGCUGUGGGCUGGAGAAAUCUCCUCCACUCCUCCUUUUCCAUCCCCUCUCUUCAUGCUUCACUCUCGGCGAGCUUGACCGUCCCGUUUCGAGGUGAAUAGAGUCACAUGACGAGCAGCGUCGAGGGCCUUGAGACGGGCUUUCAUGCACGGAGCAACAGCGUGAAGGAGAUAACACACACAAAGCCCACCGAGGCCGCGCUGAGAGCAGCAAAAGAGGAAGGCAACACCGAGCAGGAUGUCUGCAUCAGAGGAAAAUAGGAAUGAUGACGUACAAACACAAAGAGGAAACUACUGACAUUAAAGCUCUUGAAACUGGGUUACCACAGAGAUAACCCUACAAGGCUAAUGAGAGGCGGCAACAAAGAGCCAGCACAGCUAAAUGUAUUUAAGUAGGUUUACUUUACUUUAAAAUGCUAUGCAGCUGCUGUAAAUCAAUGGAGAGAGUAAGCCUGUUGCAAUAAAUCAGUUAAUCAUAUGGUACAUUUUAAAUAAAUCAAUAAUUUACCUUUGUGUAAUUUUUUUCUCUUUCUACCAAAAACUGGAUGACAAAAGUCUUCAGUAUGCCGCUUUAGUCUCAAGACAAGAAUUCUUUAAUUUUCUGCCGAUUCUGUUAUUUUGGAUAUUUAGAAUGUCUUCCAGUUCCAGUUUUGAAUGUUCAUUAGAAUUUAAAGUUUGUGUGUUUUUGCAUUAUUAUGCAAUUCCCAUGGUUGUGUUACUUAAUAGCAUCAUUUAUCGCAAAAACUUCUGUGAGAAUUUAUCAUUGGACAAAAUGCGUUAUCGUGACAGGCCUAGUUAUGAGGCGCAGUGGCGAAACCUUAAACUGCUGCUGUGCAAGUUACUCAACAGGUUGUUGCUAGGUAACCAAAGAAUGAGUGAGUUGCUAGGUAACCUAAUGAGUGAGUUAGUUAGUUGAUUCCACCAACUUUACUUUUGCUAACUGUGCGCAGCUAACGCCUACAUCUCCCAGAAUCCUGUGCAGUUCUGGAUUGAGGUUCAGUGAAUAUUCUAUUAAAUUUAUUAUCUAUUCAUAUAGAUCUUGUGACUAUAGUGACAUAAUAUUGUGAAGUGGGAGGGAAAUGUAAAUAAAUAUUUCUUUGCAAAAUAGGUGAAGAGUUCUGGACUUUGACUAGGCCAUUAAAAAACCCUACAUUGUAGUUCUGCUAUGUGUUUAGUGUUGUUGUCCAGCUGGAAGGUGUACCUUUACCCCAUCACCUUUGACCAGAUUCCCUGUCCUUACAGAUUAAAGGUAUCCCCACAGCAUGAUGCUGCCACCACCAUGUGCUUCCAUAGGCUGGGGUAGAGUUAGUAUUUUGCAUGGUCACCAUUCACCAUGUUUGCAAUCCACUGAAAAUGGCACCAAUAGUGACUUUUUUCCAACUUUAACGUUCUUGUUGACACUCAGUGCUCUCCAUAUUUUGUUUGGCAGAUGGGCUAUAAUUUUCCAGUAUUUAACUCUGGUCAUAUCAACAGUCUCCAUGAUGCUGUUGGUUGAAACAAACCUCUCAGGCCUUUGCAGAAUAGAUUGCAUUAGAUUUCUAGUAACGAGCACUGAACACAAUUCUCUUCUAGGAUCAGUUUGAAUUUUGUGGUUGCAAUAUAACAAAUGCUAAAUACCUCUGCAAAGCAUCAAGUUGUGAUAUUGUGAAGUCACACAAUAACACAGAGCAACUGUGUUACACCAACCUCACCAUGAAGCUGCCACAAGGGAACGCAUUAAAAAAAGGAGAACAGAUUUUGCAUAAUGCAGCUGCAGCUCUCUGAAUGGAAAAAACUCAGUAAUGAAAUGUUAAAUCCAGGUAGAUUCCUCUGGCUUGGGUGUGGCCCGGGCUGAGAGGUUGUUUCACGUCCCAGACUGAAGUUUCUAUGACAAACUGAUCGUUUCAUAAUGAGAACAAGGACAAAGACGGAGAAAGGGCGGAGGCUCACAGAGCAGAAAGAUCCUCUUCUUACACUCUGGUGCUCACAGUUUCCAAGACUUUAACCCUGAGAUCAAAACAAAUAAAAGGUUGCGUGUUGACUACUUAAAUGCUGUCCUGAAUUAGUGACGCUGCAUGAUGCCUAUUAGCCCAUCCUCGGGCAUUCAGUGCCAUGUUUUAAUUGAACCUACAUAUGUCCCUUCUUGCCCCAUUCUCCCAUGACAAGGCACGCAACAUGAAUUAAAGGCUGGAACCCAAGUUGAGCAAAAUGGCUUCACUUCUGCAAAAUGAGAGCAGUAAGGCAGCAGCAGCAGAGGCAGCAAAGGAGGAGGACGUGAAGAAAGACGGCAGGAAGAGCCGCUCUGUGACUGACAUCCUGUCGUCUGUAUAUGAUCCUCAUUGACAGGGUGGAUUAUGUCACGCUCCGGACUGCAAUGGCACAAAUGCAGCUCGUGACACAGUCUACUGCGCAUUCCUACCGGCACACUGAACUCUGGCUGCACAAUUAUGUAACAUGCAUAACACCAAGCUUUCCUCUACAACCAUCUGAACCAGAGGAAAAACCGCCCAUACAUGAAGGCAUUUUUGUCUUCUAAGCGUUUCGGCAGAGCUCCACGAUGGACCUGGAGGGUUAAAUAAGUCCCCUGCUUUUCAGAACGUACUUCUUGUUCUCAUAAACAUCCAAAUAAACUUGAAGAAUUUUCCAUCCCUGCCAAAUAACUGCUGGUGUCACUGCAUUUCUGAGAAAUGACUCUGCCUCAGUUAUUCAGAUUUUCACCUAUCGCCUACUUGAGCGCAGGCUUCCUCCUUGGCCUGUCAUGAACUCAGCAAAUUUUAAAGAAGCUUCAGAUGGAGGCCUUUCUUGAUGGCUUAGUCCAGGUCUGGAAGAAGAAAGUUAGAACAUUUCCAGCUUGCAUUAUAACAUUUGUUCAACAUGAACUGCCUGUUUGAAGAGCAAGCUUCCUCAUUCCUCAUCUGAAUUCAUUUUUACCCAUUUUCUGUUACAUUUGUGUAGUUAUAUGUAUUAUGUGAUGAAAAACACUUAAACUGGCUGAAUGUUUUUACUAGAAAUUAUUAAAAUGUGAGUUUACAGCGUAUCCGGACUAAAUGUGAGAUUUCUUGUUAAAUCAACGCUCCUCAGAGUCAGAGGGUCUGAAAGGCAGCAGGCCUUCAACCAGAACUCCUAAAACACCCGAUCUAAAUCCCCAUGAAGCUCAGAGUCAUGAAAAAAGGCGGAAAAAAGCAACAAUCUAGCGUAUAGAUGUGAAAAUCAUAUGAAUAAUGCGUUUCCCAGAGAACAUUUUAAUACAAACUGGGUCAUGAAGCCACCACGGGCUAAAGCAGGCUGAAAGAACCGAUCAGAUUGUGGGAGAGAGAGGGAGAGAGAGGCAGCAGCGCCCAGACAGAACGGAAUCAUCCAGCCCCACC